RNAcentral lists this ribosomal RNA (208 nucleotides) under uncultured bacterium. RNAcentral describes it as "partial 16S ribosomal RNA". It matches the Rfam family "Bacterial small subunit ribosomal RNA", at positions 568 to 775 of the family's 1533-position model. The record is from RNAcentral.
CGCGUAGGCGGCCGAGCAAGUCAGUAGUGGAAGUCCAAUUUUCAAGGUUGGAAGUGCUAUUGAAACUGCAGGGCUUGAGUGCAGGAGAGGUUAUCGGAAUUCCCGGUGUAGCGGUGAAAUGCGUAGAGAUCGGGAGGAACACCAGUGGCGAAGGCGGGUAACUGGACUGCAACUGACGCUGAGGCGCGAAAGUGUGGGGAGCAAACAG